Molecule: small nuclear RNA, 103 nt
Filed under: Triticum aestivum (bread wheat)
Lineage: Eukaryota; Viridiplantae; Streptophyta; Magnoliopsida; Poales; Poaceae
Also listed under: 1 other name
Source: RNAcentral
GUCCCUUCGGGGACAUCUGAUAAAAUUGAAACGAUACAGAGAAGAUUAGCAUGGCCCCUGCGUAAGGGUGACACGCACAAAUCGAGAAAUGGUUCAACUUUUU